AUUGAACGCUGGCGGCAUGCCUUACACAUGCAAGUCGAGCGGCAGCGCGGGGGCAACCCUGGCGGCGAGCGGCGCACGGGUGAGUAAUGCAUCGGAACGUGUCCUUUUGUGGGGGAUAACCAGUCGAAAGACUGGCUAAUACCGCAUGAGAUCGAGAGAUGAAAGCAGGGGACCCGCAAGGGCCUUGCGCGAGAGGAGCGGCCGAUGCCCGAUUAGCUAGUUGGUGGGGUAAAAGCCUACCAAGGCGACGAUCGGUAGCUGGUCUGAGAGGACGACCAGCCACACUGGGACUGAGAUACGGCCCAGACUCCUACGGGAGGCAGCAGUGGGGAAUAUUGGACAAUGGGGAAACCCUGAUCCAGCGACGCCGCGUGGGUGAAGAAGGCCUGCGGGUUGUAAAGCCCUUUCAGUGGGAAGAAAAGCCUCGACCUAACACGUCGGGUCUUGACGUAACCCAUAGAAGAAGCACCGGCUAACUCUGUGCCAGCAGCCG
This 493-nucleotide ribosomal RNA is filed under the name uncultured bacterium. Its description in RNAcentral is "bacterial SSU rRNA". It matches the Rfam family "Bacterial small subunit ribosomal RNA", at positions 29 to 517 of the family's 1533-position model. The record is from RNAcentral.